UACGAAGAUAAACGUAUAUCUGGUACCGC
This 29-nucleotide small RNA is filed under the name Bombyx mori (domestic silkworm). RNAcentral describes it as "ovarian small RNA-20955". Lineage: Eukaryota; Metazoa; Arthropoda; Insecta; Lepidoptera; Bombycidae. The record is from RNAcentral.